This is a long non-coding RNA of Triticum aestivum (bread wheat), 1213 nucleotides long. RefSeq lists it as uncharacterized. The record is from RefSeq and is a predicted model, not a curated record. The transcript has 2 exons. Lineage: Eukaryota; Viridiplantae; Streptophyta; Magnoliopsida; Poales; Poaceae.
AUUGACUGCAAAUACAUUCUGAAAAUUGAAUUGUUUGAAAUUCUUAGUAUAUGCAAUUCUGUAAAUUGUAUCUGUAUGUAUGUGAAGGUCUUUUCAAAAUGGAGCAGAAAGAAAAGAACAGAGCUUUUGAUUUAGCUUAGUAGAGAAAGACUGAAACACAUUUCAUUUAUAUCACAGGAAUGGAUGCCUUGGUGUCUGCAUUUUAUUCCGAGGAGAAAACACAUCCAGAGAAAAAACAAGAAUGAGUUGUCUAACUAGGUUAGCUAUCCACCUAUGUAUUUCUCUUUUUAUUCUAUGUAUUCAUUACUCAUUUCAGUUACUCUUCAUCUCUUAAAUUAUUAUAGAAACAAAUAUCUUUUUGGGCUGUUGUGUGCAAAUCAUAUUUGAAGUUUCCAUGCACAACGAGGACGAUUAUGUGCCUCUUUUAAGUCAUCCACGGUCAGAUUCAUUCUUGUCUUGGCUCUUACUUGGGCAAAAACUGGAAUAUCCUCUUUGGGAAUGAUGUUAGUCAGAAACUCAAUAUUAAUUUUGCACUUUAAGAAAGAGUCAAGUUUGUUAUGUAGCAUUAUAUUUGGCUCAGAUAGUUCUUGGAUGCCUUCCACGGGUCGAUGGGACGUUUUGCUCACCUUGCAAAAGUAAAGCAAUGAAGAAAUUUGUAAGGUGGGAACACUCGAAUCUCAGAGGUAAGUGUGCCAUGCUCUCCCUCUUGCGAUAUCGAAACUGGUUGCUCAUGUGAUUUUAGAAAAUUAUAAUUCAAGCAUGGAUGAAGCUUUGGCAUAAACGAUGCCACUUAUAAGCUACAAAGCAGGAGGGCUUAAUUGCUUAACUAACAAGGUUUAUUUAUACAUCUUAAGGUGGAUUCAACUUGCAAACCUCACAGAAUGAUCCCCAGCUGAUAGAGACUGGAUGCAUACUUUCAUCAGUUGAACCAAUUACUCAUGGAAGGAAUAAAAGAUCCAAGCUAGGAAGGCAUGUUUCAAAGGCACAAGCAUAAGUCUUGGAAUAAUUGCUAUUGGUGGUUAAAAAAUUCAUGUAUGUCGAUGUGAUGUCUAUGAAAGAUGUUAAAUCUGCUUGAUGUAUAUGUCUAAUCUUUAUGUUGGCGAACAGGUGGAUGUUGACUACAUUAACAUUUCCUUGUGUUGCCUUAUUAGUGUAUGCCAAAAGAUGCAAAUCGUGUGGAAAUGCAAGAACAUGAGCUUCUGUUCUUUGCUUU